RNAcentral lists this ribosomal RNA (274 nucleotides) under uncultured bacterium. RNAcentral describes it as "partial 16S ribosomal RNA". It matches the Rfam family "Bacterial small subunit ribosomal RNA", at positions 523 to 796 of the family's 1533-position model. The record is from RNAcentral.
AUACGAAGGGGGCUAGCGUUGUUCGGAAUUACUGGGCGUAAAGCGCGCGUAGGCGGAUUGGUCAGUUAGGGGUGAAAUCCCAGGGCUUAACCCUGGAACUGCCUCUAAUACUGCCAGUCUUGAGUUCGGGAGAGGUGAGUGGAAUUCCUAGUGUAGAGGUGAAAUUCAUAGAUAUUAGGAAGAACACUAGUGGCGAAGGCGGCUCACUGGCCCGAUACUGACGCUGAGGCGCGAAAGCGUGGGGAGCAAACAGGAUUAGAAACCCCAGUAGUCC